GACGAACGCUGGCGGCGUGCCUAAUACAUGCAAGUUGAGCGCUGAAGGUUGGUACUUGUACCAACUGGAUGAGCAGCGAACGGGUGAGUAACGCGUGGGGAAUCUGCCUUUGAGCGGGGGACAACAUUUGGAAACGAAUGCUAAUACCGCAUAAAAACUUUAAACACAAGUUUUAAGUUUGAAAGAUGCAAUUGCAUCACUCAAAGAUGAUCCCGCGUUGUAUUAGCUAGUUGGUGAGGUAAAGGCUCACCAAGGCGAUGAUACAUAGCCGACCUGAGAGGGUGAUCGGCCACAUUGGGACUGAGACACGGCCCAAACUCCUACGGGAGGCAGCAGUAGGGAAUCUUCGGCAAUGGACGAAAGUCUGACCGAGCAACGCCGCGUGAGUGAAGAAGGUUUUCGGAUCGUAAAAUUCUGUUGGUAGAGAAGAACGUUGGUGAGAGUGGAAAGCUCAUCAAGUGACGGUAACUACCCAGAAAGGGACGGCUAACUACGUG
This 497-nucleotide ribosomal RNA is filed under the name uncultured bacterium. RNAcentral describes it as "partial 16S ribosomal RNA". It matches the Rfam family "Bacterial small subunit ribosomal RNA", at positions 28 to 507 of the family's 1533-position model. The record is from RNAcentral.